RNAcentral lists this long non-coding RNA (669 nucleotides) under Chinchilla lanigera (long-tailed chinchilla). RNAcentral's name for it is "lncRNA (ENSCLAG00000026094.1)". The record is from RNAcentral. Lineage: Eukaryota; Metazoa; Chordata; Mammalia; Rodentia; Chinchillidae.
GGGCUCCACUCAAAUCUGAGCCCCUCGUUCUCUGGUAGAGGAAAUCAAGACCCUUAGAAGUACAGUGACUGGUAAGGCCAUGGCGAGUGCAUAGCUGGAGUCACCUCUUCUGUCUUUGAUCCUUUGCUUAUUCUUCCCCUUUCAGGUGGCUAAUUUUCAAGCUAUGGACAGAGAUUUGCAGCAAUUCCCAGACUCUCCCUUCUCCCAUUUUAUCACUCUGGAACCUUCCCAGGGGUUUAUUAUCUGUGGAAUGAUGCCCAGUAUGAUGUCAUGAACGUCGUUGCUAGCAGAAUCCUGCAGGAAUCGAGAAAGUUCAAGUUGUAGCACAAAUGGCUUGGGGUCCAGAUGGAACUCACAGGAAACAAACGAAGGCUGUGAAAUCAUGCCUACUAGGACUGAAAAAUGCAAAGGUGCUUGAGGUUUUGCAGGUGCAAGAAGCACAGAUGAAAGGCCUCUCGGAAGUCCUCGGUCCACAGAGCACAGCUAGGCAAACCUCACCCAGCGACGCCAUCUGCAACAUGCAAGAGUUCAACUCUGAACGAUGAACAAAUUCUCCAUCCUGUUCAGUAAAGACAAAGCUCCGUGUACCCCAUGGCUUUGAGGGUGUGGAAAGCACCGUAUGGACAGAGACUAGAGGGAAGCCCAGAAAUAAAAACAGUUGUGUUAGAC